RNAcentral lists this ribosomal RNA (253 nucleotides) under uncultured bacterium. RNAcentral's name for it is "partial 16S ribosomal RNA". It matches the Rfam family "Bacterial small subunit ribosomal RNA", at positions 524 to 776 of the family's 1533-position model. The record is from RNAcentral.
GACAGAGGAUGCAAGCGUUAUCCGGAAUGAUUGGGCGUAAAGCGUCUGUAGGUGGCUUUUUAAGUCCGCCGUCAAAUCCCCGGGCUCACCCCGGGACCUGCAUCCCAAACUGCUGAGCUUGAGUACAGGAGAGGGUGGGGGAAUUCCAGGUGUAGCGGUGAAAUGCGUAGAUAUCUGGAGGAACACCGGUGGCGAAGGCGCCCACCUGGCCUGCUACUGACGCUGAAGCUCGAAAGCUAGGGGAGCAAACGGG